This 605-nucleotide ribosomal RNA is filed under the name uncultured fungus. RNAcentral's name for it is "eukaryotic LSU rRNA". It matches the Rfam family "Eukaryotic large subunit ribosomal RNA", at positions 24 to 664 of the family's 3401-position model. The record is from RNAcentral. Lineage: Eukaryota; Fungi.
CCCGCUGAACUUAAGCAUAUCAAUAAGCGGAGGAAAAGAAACUAACAAGGAUUCCCCUAGUAGCGGCGAGUGAAGCGGGAAGAGCUCAAAUUUGAAAUCUGUCUUGGGAACAAGGUCGAAUUGUAGUUUGUAGAGGGGCGAUUGUGAGAGGACGCAGGGCAAGUCUCUUGGAACAGAGUGCCGCAGAGGGUGAGAGCCCCGUUGGCCUGCAGAAUCGAGCGUGUAUCGGACCUUCAAAGAGUCGGGUUGUUUGGGAUUGCAGCCCCAAGUGGGUGGUAAACGCCAUCUCAAGCUAAAUAUUGGCGAGAGACCGAUAGCGAACUAGUACCGUGAGGGAAAGAUGAAAAGAACUCUGGAAAGAGAGUUAAACAGUAUGUGAAAUUGUUGAAAGGGAAAGGGAGGGUAGAGUGGAUGGCCUGCUUGAUCAGACAGAGGAAUCUGUUGUAGUCGAGCAGGGCAGAUCCGUGUGGGUGUGGUGUCGCGGGGAGGCGCAGCAAGGUAGGGAUUUAUCCUGUUAUAGGCUGUGCGGUCGCGGGGCAGCAGUCCGAGGAGCAGUACGGUAGUACGACACGGAACUCUCACCUCCCACCCGUCUUGAAACACGG